UCGGUUAGGUUGGUGUGCUGUGCUCUCUCGUGAAUCUGCGCGACCGUUGUGUGCGUGCGCGCAUACGCCAGCUUGCCACGCGAGAUAUACCACGUUGCACGUCUUCGAGGCUUGUGCUUUAUAUUGAUUGACAAAUGCGAGGUUGUCGCUUUUUGGCCGUAUCGAACGCUCUUUGGUCGCUACGAGAUCGCUGCUAAUGCAUUGCUGAAUUAUAAAUUAUUCGCCAGAACAUGCAGGCUGAUCGACGUGUAACAGGAUCCAUGUAAUCGUGUAUCGCUUUGAGCUAUCAUGCGAGACCGUCACUUGUCUAAAUGCAACGCGAUGAAACUGUCGUCAUCGAAACUCACAGCCAUCACUCGACAUCCUUCUGCAUAAACGUAUGACGAUACGCUCGAGUGAAUGAAAAAUUCGAUAACGGGAGAUCGUUUUCCAUCGAAAAGAAUAUCGUGGAGACAGGAACGACAAAACGCGAAAAAGGUUAUCUGACCCCCGCGAAUCGAACACGACGCGAGCGAGUGAGCGAGCGCGUUCUCUUUCAAAAGACGAUCGCGCGUUCCGAAUGCAUCAUAUGCGUGUUGACGAUAGCCGACUAUCGAGUGUGCAUCGGUUGGCGUUCAAAAGGGUAUAGAAUCCUGAAGUUAGAUGCUUUAGGCAGUGACGUCAAGACGCUCGUAAUUCGCGCGUGCAUGAAGACGACCCUCCUCAACGGGCGGUGUGCGCGGCGGGAGAGAUAGAUCGUCUUCGACGUAAGCUGGCGUUGAUGUGACCUAGCCUAACUUUCGCUCGGUACACCGGUGCCGAACUCCACCUGAUCUUCGUCCACCCUCCUGUUAUCGCGUGUGUGUGUCUGUGUGCGCGCGCGCGCCCGCGCGUUCGACCGUUCCUGCACCGUGUCCGUCGGAUGAGUAUAACUUCGCAUAGUUGAGAAGCAUUCGGGAUGAUGCUGUUAAUGAAGUUUUAUUUUUAUUUAAAUCGUCAUAUGUCUCCCAAUUUCCCGUUACUCGACGGCAGUGAGCUAUGUAAUGCCCAAUGUCAUUUUUAUUAGUGCCACCAAUAUAUUCGAUUGCUGCUACUAAUUUAUAUGUGCAUUUGCAGAACUGUAUGUCUAAUAGUAUCUCAGACAGAGUAAGCGUACCGGACCAAUCGAUAUAUCCAAGUCUGCAAGCAAGAUCAGUCCAUUGCAGACAUUCAAGGUCUACAAAGAGAUGCGGCCCUGUUGUAAAAUUUGUAAUUAAAUUUUCAUUGCCACAUCUUUUACAUUUUUUAUUUAUGUCUUCGAUUCUUUGAUUAAUCGCUAUUUGCAAACCGCGCAUACUAUUUUCAUAUAUCGGUUUAGGGUUCAUUUCUAAUACCUUGAUACUUUUGUGAUCCAUCCAUUUACAUGUUGAGCAUUCUUGAGACACAUUAUACGAGAAUGAAUUUUCCAUUAAAUAUUUGUCUAUUAACUGACUUACGUUACA
This is a non-coding RNA of Linepithema humile (Argentine ant), 1460 nucleotides long. The record is from RefSeq and is a predicted model, not a curated record. Lineage: Eukaryota; Metazoa; Arthropoda; Insecta; Hymenoptera; Formicidae.